Molecule: ribosomal RNA, 468 nt
Filed under: uncultured bacterium
Lineage: Bacteria
Description: partial 16S ribosomal RNA
Rfam family: Bacterial small subunit ribosomal RNA
Source: RNAcentral
GACGAACGCUGGCGGCGUGCUUAACACAUGCAAGUCGAACGGAAAGGCCCUGCUUUUGUGGGGUGCUCGAGUGGCGAACGGGUGAGUAACACGUGAGUAACCUGCCCUUGACUUUGGGAUAACUUCAGGAAACUGGGGCUAAUACCGGAUAGGAGCUCCUGCUGCAUGGUGGGGGUUGGAAAGUUUCGGCGGUUGGGGAUGGACUCGCGGCUUAUCAACUUGUUGGUGGGGUAGUGGCUUACCAAGGCUUUGACGGGUAGCCGGCCUGAGAGGGUGACCGGCCACAUUGGGACUGAGAUACGGCCCAGACUCCUACGGGAGGCAGCAGUGGGGAAUAUUGCACAAUGGGCGGAAGCCUGAUGCAGCAACGCCGCGUGCGGGAUGACGGCCUUCGGGGUGUAAACCGCUUUCGCAUGUGACGAAGCGUGAGUGACGGUAAUGGGUAAAGAAGCACCGGCUAACUACGUG